RNAcentral lists this ribosomal RNA (115 nucleotides) under Fasciola gigantica. Lineage: Eukaryota; Metazoa; Platyhelminthes; Trematoda; Plagiorchiida; Fasciolidae. The record is from RNAcentral.
GCAGACAUGCACGUUGGAUGCACCGAUACUCGUCGGAUCACCGAAGAUAAGAAGCGUCGGACACGUUAGUGCUCGCAUGGAUGACCAGCUGGGAAUACCGGUUGUUGCGGCUGUU